This 70-nucleotide transfer RNA is filed under the name Vibrio mimicus. RNAcentral's name for it is "tRNA-Phe". It matches the Rfam family "tRNA". Rfam says of the family: Transfer RNA (tRNA) molecules are approximately 80 nucleotides in length. The record is from RNAcentral. Lineage: Bacteria; Pseudomonadati; Pseudomonadota; Gammaproteobacteria; Vibrionales; Vibrionaceae.
GCCCGGAUAGCUCAGUCGGUAGAGCAGAGGAUUGAAAAUCCUCGUGUCGGUGGUUCGAUUCCGCCUCCGG